This 264-nucleotide ribosomal RNA is filed under the name uncultured archaeon. RNAcentral describes it as "partial 16S ribosomal RNA". It matches the Rfam family "Archaeal small subunit ribosomal RNA", at positions 748 to 1009 of the family's 1478-position model. The record is from RNAcentral.
CAGCCGUAAACUAUGCGCGUUAGGUGUACUGGUGACCACGAGUCACCGGGGUGCCGAAGGGAAACCGUGAAACGUGCCGCCUGGGAAGUACGGUCGCAAGGCUGAAACUUAAAGGAAUUGGCGGGGGAGGCACCACAACGGGUGGAGCCUGCGGGUUUAAUUUGGAUUCAACGCCGGACAUCUCACCGGAUAAGACAGCUGAAUGAUUGUCAAUCUGAAGGUUUUACAUGACUAGCUGAGAGGUGGUGCAUGGCGUAGACGUCU